Molecule: small RNA, 18 nt
Filed under: Arabidopsis thaliana (thale cress)
Lineage: Eukaryota; Viridiplantae; Streptophyta; Magnoliopsida; Brassicales; Brassicaceae
Description: Ath_wt_06279
Source: RNAcentral
GCGGAUUACGGUGGCGGC